AUCCAGUUGAUGAGUCCCAAAUAGGACAAAACGCGUGUCCUGUAU
This is a non-coding RNA of Schistosoma mansoni, 45 nucleotides long. Lineage: Eukaryota; Metazoa; Platyhelminthes; Trematoda; Strigeidida; Schistosomatidae. The record is from Rfam.